Anguilla anguilla (European eel) is the source of this 2987-nucleotide RNA transcript. It is a transcript of the gene named potassium voltage-gated channel subfamily A member 2, with no coding region annotated. Lineage: Eukaryota; Metazoa; Chordata; Actinopteri; Anguilliformes; Anguillidae. The record is from RefSeq and is a predicted model, not a curated record. The transcript is spliced from 2 exons.
AGUGAUCGCCGGUGACGCGCGUCUGGGGUCUAUGUUUAUGUCUGUUUGGGUUCCGAUUGGGCGAAGGGUAGAAAUGUGCCUGGCAUCUGCGCGCCGUGGGCGGGAAUAGGCAUGUUUAUAAACCCCAGUGUGCGCGCCGUGGGCGGGAAUACUAGAUUGAGAAACUGAAGACAGAAACGGAGAAGAGGAGAGAGAGGACGCGCAGCGGCGGCGGCAGUGGCGGCGGCUGUGGCUGACUGGAGCUAGUUGGAGGAGGCGCGGCUCCCCCUGCCCCUCCAUCCCAGCACCUGCAUGGACGACCACCUCAGCCUCCUUCACUCGCCUCCGACUUCCUCAGCCAAGCACCGGGGCAACAACAUCGUGAACCACGGCUACACCGAGACCGAGCAGGACAUCAUGACAGUUGUUGCUUGCGAUAACAUGUUGGAGGAGACGGCAGCGCUCCCAGGGCACCAGUCUUUAGACCGCUAUGAGCCCGACCACGAGUGCUGCGAGAGGGUGGUCAUUAAUAUUUCCGGCUUGCGCUUCGAGACGCAACUCAAAACUCUCUCUCAGUUCCCCGAGACUUUGCUCGGGGACCCCAAGAAGAGAAUGCGCUACUUUGACCCGCUGAGAAACGAGUACUUCUUUGAUAGAAACCGUCCCAGCUUCGAUGCAAUCCUAUACUACUACCAAUCGGGGGGGCGUAUCCGGAGACCUGUUAACGUCCCAAUUGACAUUUUCUCUGAGGAGAUACGGUUUUAUGAACUCGGGGAAGAGGCAAUGGAAAAAUUCCGGGAGGACGAAGGUUUCAUCAAAGAAGAAGAACGUCCUUUACCCAGCAACGAAUUCCAGAGGCAAGUGUGGUUGUUGUUUGAGUACCCCGAGAGUUCGGGUCCAGCCAGGGGCAUCGCCAUUGUCUCGGUGCUGGUCAUUUUAAUCUCCAUCGUAAUAUUUUGUCUGGAAACUUUACCCGAAUUCCGGGAUGACAAAGAACCCACUACCGUAGCGCCCAUUAUAAAUGGAACGACACCUUACUUCACUAGUCCUUUUUCAGACCCUUUCUUUGUGGUAGAGACACUCUGUAUAAUAUGGUUCUCUUUCGAACUGCUGGUUAGAUUUUUUGCCUGCCCCAGCAAAGCCACGUUUUCGAAAAACAUCAUGAACAUUAUCGACAUUGUGGCGAUCAUCCCUUAUUUUAUCACGCUAGGGACUGAGCUCGCGGAGCGGCAGGGGAACGGGCAACAGGCGAUGUCCUUGGCCAUUCUCCGCGUGAUCAGGCUCGUGAGGGUUUUUCGUAUUUUCAAGCUCUCUCGGCACUCAAAGGGGCUUCAGAUUUUAGGACAGACACUAAAAGCCAGCAUGCGGGAGUUGGGACUUUUGAUAUUUUUCCUUUUCAUCGGGGUUAUUCUCUUCUCCAGUGCCGUCUACUUCGCCGAAGCAGACGACCCCGAAUCUAGCUUCAGCAGCAUCCCCGAUGCAUUCUGGUGGGCUGUGGUCACCAUGACGACAGUCGGCUAUGGAGACAUGCACCCUGUAACCAUAGGGGGUAAAAUCGUCGGGUCCCUGUGUGCAAUCGCAGGCGUGUUAACCAUUGCCCUGCCAGUCCCAGUAAUUGUUUCUAAUUUUAACUACUUCUACCACAGAGAGACUGAAGGGGAAGAGCAGGCUCAGUACAUGCACGUUGGCAGCUGUCAGCCUUUGUCCUCAACGGAGGAACUGAAAAAGACACGUAGCACGUCCUCCCUCAGCAAAUCGGAAUACAUGGUGAUAGAGGAAGGAAUCAACAGUGCUUUCAAACAGCCCAACUUUACUGCACAGAACAAUCAGAACUGCGUGAACAUCAAAAAGAUUUUUACAGAUGUGUAACCGUUAGAAAAGCGAGAAAUGAUAUAAAUAUAACGACUAUUACUCUACCAAUAAUAAUCGUGACGUGUCAGUGCAAGUCUUGUGUGGAGGCAACGCAAUAGGUAUAUACAUGUGUCCUUUCAGUCCGUGAGCUUCUGAGUACAUUCCAUUCGCUCUUGAGGAGUAGCUCAAGGAUUUUUUCUAGUGUUAAUGGAGCUUCGUGUCCUGCGUUUGAUUCGGUUUAAUUAAGUGGGAUAGAAUUCAAACGCUGCUGUAUUGGACAUCUUUCCGUUUAUUUUCCUUAAAGACAACGGCGAUGUUUGCUUCCAAUGUUCAUUAAUUCUGCUGGUUACGUGAUAUUUCAUUUACUAAGUGAAGUGUCUUCAUUAAAUAAUUAUGUCAGUAAUAUUCUAGCUAUAACAAGCAACGAAAUAUGGAGUGAGAAACUUGAAGAAAUGCUUUAUUAUGAUUACAGCCAAAUAUUGCUCAUAGGUAGACAUAUAUAAUAUAUUUUACAAACGUGUUACCAUGUCAAACGACAACUAAGGUGUAAUGUAGGCUAUUAAAUCUAUUUCGGCUGUUGAAUUACGUUUAAGCGGCCGUAGGUAAGCGCCUGUAACCAUCAAAGGGCACAAUAGAAAAGAGUAGCUUUUUCAUGUAAUGUGGAGAAAAACAUCCCAUUCAUCAAGGCAAUGUUUCGCGUGUACGCAUUGUGCGAUUCAGUCAAUUUAAUCUGAUCAUACUUAUUGGGAGGAGUCGCGGCAACAAUAUCAUCGAAUCACUUCUGAUUGUUUACGUGAAAGAAGUGCCCGUGUUUUCCAAAUCAGUUUGGCCUUCUGAAGACUCCAAGUUUAAAAAUCAAUGCCAGCACAAGCACGAGGACGAAUACACGGUGUUUGCGCGUCUCUCGUGGAGGUGCCGGACAACAAAAAAAGGAGAUCAGAGCCAGCACACGGUUUCCAGUGGAUGCUGCUAAUCCCGCCUAGAGUGAUGCAGUCUCCAUGGCGACCACCGUUUCCUGGAUCUCCCGGAUGCGCGCACGCCCGGGCAGCGCCCCGGCGAUGGAGGAGGGAAGAUGCUGGAAAUUGUGAAUGGAGCUGGAGCAGGCCGUGCUUUACAUCCCGCGUUCACAAGGGGCUGCUCUACACCGUCGAAUGCGC